AACGAACGCUGGCGGCAUGCCUAACACAUGCAAGUCGAACGAACCCUUCGGGGUUAGUGGCGCACGGGUGCGUAACGCGUGGGAAUCUGCCCUUUGCUUCGGAAUAACUCAGGGACACUUGUGCUAAUACCGGAUGAUGUCUUCGGACCAAAGAUUUAUCGGCAAGGGAUGAGCCCGCGUAGGAUUAGGUAGUUGGUGGGGUAAAGGCCUACCAAGCCGACGAUCCUUAGCUGGUCUGAGAGGAUGAUCAGCCACACUGGGACUGAGACACGGCCCAGACUCCUACGGGAGGCAGCAGUGGGGAAUAUUGGACAAUGGGCGCAAGCCUGAUCCAGCAAUGCCGCGUGAGUGAUGAAGGCCCUCGGGUCGUAAAGCUCUUUUACCAGGGAUGAUAAUGACAGUACCUGGAGAAUAAGCUCCGGCUAACUCCGUG
RNAcentral lists this ribosomal RNA (433 nucleotides) under uncultured bacterium. RNAcentral describes it as "partial 16S ribosomal RNA". It matches the Rfam family "Bacterial small subunit ribosomal RNA", at positions 29 to 507 of the family's 1533-position model. The record is from RNAcentral.